Molecule: long non-coding RNA, 1848 nt
Organism: Clupea harengus (Atlantic herring)
Lineage: Eukaryota; Metazoa; Chordata; Actinopteri; Clupeiformes; Clupeidae
Source: Ensembl
CUUAUAAACAAUGAAUUACUGGAAUUUAUGCUCAACGAUGGCGGGACAUUCUAUGAAGUCGUAUGAUGUAUGUCUGUCUCACUGAUUUCGAUGCUUUCUCAGAUGGCGUCCUGGAAGGUCUCCCGCCGGACAAUGUUGAUUCCGUAUGGCUUGAAGAGUUUGCUGGAAUCUCUGUGUCGUGCGAUAAGAACUGAAGACCCACAGCACAUAGAACAGUUUAUCGCUGCGUAUUGCAAGGACCUCCUAGAGCACAGAGACCGUAUUGCAAAUACAGCCACUCCUUCCAGAGACCUUAGACAAGUCAUACAGCUUUACCAGAAAAUGCGAGAGCUUGACCAAGUUAUGAUGAUAAAUUGGCCAAUGCGAGGUUCUCCGGAGUCGGCCCAGGUCUGGAAACCAUCUGGGGAGCCUGCAGAGAUGUAUCAGAGAUGUGUCAGCCUUGUCAGCUGCCACCUUGCUGAUGACGCCUUGACUGUCAGUCAGAGUAUGCCUGUUCAGUCUUCCCUGGCGCAGCCCAAGAGCCCUGAGGACCUUCCCGCAGCUAGGGUUCAAUCAGCAGUCUUCCAGAGGGUUCCAUCAACGAGUGAUUUCACUGAGAUCAAGGGAACUGUUCUGAUUGAUUCUGCAAGGGCACCGCCUGCUGAUGUCAUCGUGGUUCACUCAGAGAACCUUCCGGGCACAAUAGUGUUCCACUGUGAAAGUCGCCCCAGUUCAGCUUCAUCUGUGAGGUCUUGUGGCACCAGGACACCCUCUGUGACUGACACAGAUGGGACAGAGGAGUGUGGUCUUGAGAUGGACUCGGAUGAGAUGGUGGUGUUUGAAAGAGUUCCCUCCAAGGAGGAUUUUCUUCCUCUUCAGUCUUCUGUGGAGGUGGAGUCCGGUAAGCUGCAGAAUUCAGAGAUUGUAGACGAGCCUCGCACCACAGUGGGACAAUAUCAUAGCUCAGAGGAGACGGAGGAGCAACAUGAAACACUGGAAGUGGCAGCCGCCCAAGAGUCAUCCAAGAUAAAGAAGGAGGUAUCAUCGAGACAAAGCCUGGUCAAGGUGUUCUCUGCUCAUAUGGUGAAAACUGAGGAUAGCGUUGAAAAGAUGGAUGACGGAUCAAAGCAAUCAGAUGGAGACAUGACACCCAGCACAUCUUCAGAGACGUCCAUUACAGUGCUUCUAAGGUCAAUGACAGACAAACUUCACCAUCUCAAGGUGUGACUGCUGUGGAUGGAGUCACAUGGCAGGAUCUGCAAACACUUUCACCAGAUGCGUCACAGAGUGUCUCUCCAGACCCCUUGCUUCUAGCAGAGAUGCCACAAACUGUUAUAUCUGUGUCUGAAAGUGUUUCUCCUCUCUACACUGUGGAGAGAGAAGAGACAGCAGCCCAAGAACAAUCUGUUGAAGAAGCUCUCAUUGCCGCUGCUGCUGGAGUAUCAGUAUUACCAGCUGAAUGCUCAGGCACUGACAGAGUUGAAAGUACUGAAACAGCUUAUGUCGUCACAACGGAAAAUACUCCUCACAAGUCAUUAGAUGAAAGUGUGGUUAGUGUGACUCCUGUCCGAAGUCCCAUUCAGAUGAACAUGAAUGAGAUUGCUGAUGCAGAUGAUUUGAAUCUGGUCAAGGAAAUGCCAGAAUCUCUGGCAGAUAACUCUGAACUGUCACCUCUCGCACAAGUACACCCUGAGGAGAUGUUAGGAUUUCCAAGUGAUCAGACAAGCGCUGCUGGUGGGGAGUGUCCAAACACAACAGACACAGGGUUUAUAACAUCUGGCGGUAUACCCUGUCAGGAAGAUAGUUUGACAGAAACAAUGAAGACAACAGAAAUGGGGACAACCUCAAAAGUUUCUUCAGAGACAUCAG